This 443-nucleotide ribosomal RNA is filed under the name uncultured bacterium. RNAcentral describes it as "partial 16S ribosomal RNA". It matches the Rfam family "Bacterial small subunit ribosomal RNA", at positions 338 to 795 of the family's 1533-position model. The record is from RNAcentral.
CCUACGGGUGGCAGCAGUGGGGAAUAUUGGACAAUGGGGGGAACCCUGAUCCAGCGACGCCGCGUGAGUGAAGAAGUAUUUCGGUAUGUAAAGCUCUAUCAGCAGGGAAGAAAGAAAUGACGGUACCUGAAGAAGAAGCCCCGGCUAAAUACGUGCCAGCAGACGCGGUAAUACGUAGGGGGCAAGCGUUAUCCGGAUUUACGGGGUGUAAAGGGAGCGUAGACGGCAAUGCAAGUUUGAAGUGAAAGGCGGGGGCCCAACCCCGGGGCGGCUUCGGAAACUGUAUGGCUGGAGUGCAGGAGAGGUAAGUGGAAUUCCUAGUGUAGCGGUGGAAUGCGUAGAUAUUAGGAGGAACACCAGUGGCGAAGGCGGCUUACUGGACUGUAACUGACGUUGAGGCACGAAAGCGUGGGGAGCAAACAGGAUUAGAUACCCCGGUAGUC